RNAcentral lists this unclassified non-coding RNA (434 nucleotides) under Nostoc oryzae TAU-MAC 2710. RNAcentral describes it as "Anabaena oryzae TAU-MAC 2710 partial 16S-23S ribosomal RNA intergenic spacer". The stretch from base 189 to 261 matches the Rfam family "tRNA". The record is from RNAcentral. Lineage: Bacteria; Bacillati; Cyanobacteriota; Cyanophyceae; Nostocales; Nostocaceae.
CUUUCCAACUAUGAUUUGGUUAGAUAAUGGGCUAUUAGCUCAGGUGGUUAGAGCGCACCCAUGAUAAGGGUGAGGUCCGUGGUUGGAGUCCAGGAUGGCCCACCUGAAGCAAUGCAAAAUUAAAAAUUCAAAAUUCAAAAUUAAGAAAUUGUUUCUGAAUUUUGCAUUUUGAAUUUUGAAUUGUGUUGGGGGGUUUAGGUCAGUUGGUAGAGGGCCUGGUUUGCAAGCAGGAUGUCAGCGGUUCGAGUCCGCUAACCUCCACAUGAAAAGGCAAGCAAGCCAAGAAAGAGGAAAAAUUCAGCAACUAACGGGAGUUAGACUGCUGGGUGAAGACCUAGCCAGAACCUUGAAAACUGCAUAAAAACGCGAUUAGAUUAGCAGGCAGACACAGACAAACUGUGAAUGCAGGAUAAAACCAAUGGAAUUGUGUCAAG